This 468-nucleotide ribosomal RNA is filed under the name uncultured bacterium. RNAcentral's name for it is "partial 16S ribosomal RNA". It matches the Rfam family "Bacterial small subunit ribosomal RNA", at positions 28 to 507 of the family's 1533-position model. The record is from RNAcentral.
GACGAACGCUGGCGGCGUGCUUAACACAUGCAAGUCGAACGGAAAGGCCCUGCUUUUGUGGGGUGCUCGAGUGGCGAACGGGUGAGUAACACGUGAGUAACCUGCCCUUGACUUUGGGAUAACUUCAGGAAACUGGGGCUAAUACCGGAUAGGAGCUCCUGCUGCAUGGUGGGGGUUGGAAAGUUUCGGCGGUUGGGGAUGGACUCGCGGCUUAUCAGCUUGUCGGUGGGGUAGUGGCUUACCAAGGCUUUGACGGGUAGCCGGCCUGAGAGGGUGACCGGCCACAUUGGGACUGAGAUACGGCCCAGACUCCUACGGGAGGCAGCAGUGGGGAAUAUUGCACAAUGGGCGGAAGCCUGAUGCAGCAACGCCGCGUGCGGGAUGACGGCCUUCGGGUUGUAAACCGCUUUCGCCCGUGACGAAGCGUGAGUGACGGUAAUGGGUAAAGAAGCACCGGCUAACUACGUG